GCACGGCGCACGGGUGCGUAACACGUGGGCAAUCUGCCCUUCGAUGGGGAAUAACUCCGGGAAACCGAAGCUAAUUCCGCAUAACAUUUCGAGGAUUCAAGCGUCGAAGGAGGAGCCCGCGCCCGAUUAGCUAGUUGGUGAGGUAACGGCUCACCAAGGCAAUGAUCGGUAGCUGGUCUGAGAGGAUGGCCAGCCACACUGGAACUGAGACACGGUCCAGACUCCUACGGGAGGCAGCAGUGGGGAAUCUUGCGCAAUGGGCGAAAGCCUGACGCAGCGACGCCGCGUGGGGGAUGAAGGCCUUAGGGUUGUAAAGCUCUUUCGGCGGGGACGAUGAUGACGGUACCCGCAGAAGAAGCCCCGGCUAACUUCGUGCCAGCAGCCGCGGUAAUACGAAGGGGGCGAGCGUUGUUCGGAAUUACUGGGCGUAAAGGGCGCGCAGGCGGUGCAUGAAGUCAGAUGUGAAAGCCCCGGGCUCAACCUGGGAACAGCAUUUGAUACUCGUGCGCUGGAGUUCGGGAGAGGAGAGUGGAAUUCCCAGUGUAGAGGUGAAAUUCGUAGAUAUUGGGAAGAACACCGGUGGCGAAGGCGGCUCUCUGGACCGAUAC
Molecule: ribosomal RNA, 608 nt
Filed under: uncultured bacterium
Lineage: Bacteria
Description: bacterial SSU rRNA
Rfam family: Bacterial small subunit ribosomal RNA
Source: RNAcentral